This 848-nucleotide long non-coding RNA is filed under the name Prunus dulcis (almond). RNAcentral describes it as "sRNA ncRNA". The record is from RNAcentral. Lineage: Eukaryota; Viridiplantae; Streptophyta; Magnoliopsida; Rosales; Rosaceae.
GAUGAUGAUGAUGAUGAAAUUCUUAAAAGAGAUAUAGGACUUAGCUUGUAUUUUCUUAACUUGGAGAAAUGCUUUGGAAUCGAGGUAGGAGUUUCUUGGUGACCUUUUAUAAAGAUUGAUCUAAUUAAAUCUCGUGAGCACUAUAUCAUGCAUCAUAUUAUUAUUUGAUUAUUAUGGAUAUUGGGUGUUUAAGUGUUGUUAAUUAUCAUCAUAUUAUUUUAUUAAUAUUGACAUAAUCAUAUGUUAUCGGUGAUGGCUGGAAUUCUUGGGUUGAUAAAGAAAGUAUGGAAAAGGGGGUAAUGGGAAGGAUCUUUUGUGUAGUUGAGUCUAACUCUUGGCAGGUACCAGGUCUCAAAGAUCCCGUAGUUCACAUGGUUUUUAUUCGGUGAUUCAGGACUGGCGACAGGGAGUUAGACAAGAUGACUAACGAAAGGGGAAUUAUGGGAUGAUUGAAAUGGGUGUUAGUUCAUAUAAAUGGGCAUUCGGGACCAAGUUGUAUAAGCAUGUAUGGGACGUGCAGGUCUGCUUGUGCAGUUAUAUGAAUUAACGGGAGUAGAUGAAGAGUAUUCAUUCAUGCAUUAUUAUUAAUAAUGUGAUAUUUGGCUGUGUGAUUGCAUGUCACUUAAUUUAGUUAUAUCAAUCUACUGUGGUAAGGUCUCAUGUCCCUACUGAGCGGUGGUUGUUCAUCCCUCACCCUGUUUAAUUUUUCAGAUGAAUUAGUAGGCAAGACAAGGACUAAACUAGUUGAGGCUGAAUUAGAUGAGAGUGAUAGAGCUUUAUUUUUUUAAUUUUAAAGUUGUAAGAUUUUGGGAGCUAUUUUUAUAAGAAAAGUUUAUUUUAUGUUUCGG